This 75-nucleotide transfer RNA is filed under the name Halomicronema hongdechloris C2206. Its description in RNAcentral is "tRNA-Arg". It matches the Rfam family "tRNA". From Rfam's summary of the family: Transfer RNA (tRNA) molecules are approximately 80 nucleotides in length. Their secondary structure includes four short double-helical elements and three loops (D, anti-codon, and T loops). Lineage: Bacteria; Bacillati; Cyanobacteriota; Cyanophyceae; Nodosilineales; Nodosilineaceae. The record is from RNAcentral.
UGGGCCCUUAGUUCAGGGGAUAGAACAACCGCCUUCUAAGCGGUAAGUCGCAGGUUCGAAUCCUGCAGGGCCCGU